UACGUAGGGUGCGAGCGUUAAUCGGAAUUACUGGGUGUAAAGCGUGCGCAGGCGGUUUUGUAAGCCAGGUGUGAAAUCCCCGGGCUCAACCUGGGAAUGGCAUUUGGGACUGCAAGGCUGGAGUGCGGCAGAGGAGACUGGAAUUCCUGGUGUAGCAGUGAAAUGCGUAGAUAUCAGGAGGAACACCGAUGGCGAAGGCAGGUCUCUGGGCUGACACUGACGCUCAUGCACGAAAGCGUGGGGAGCAAACAAGG
RNAcentral lists this ribosomal RNA (254 nucleotides) under uncultured bacterium. RNAcentral describes it as "partial 16S ribosomal RNA". It matches the Rfam family "Bacterial small subunit ribosomal RNA", at positions 524 to 777 of the family's 1533-position model. The record is from RNAcentral.